UGUGAGAGUGAUGAGUGGCACUGAAAAGUUGGCGUGUUGUUGCAGUGGCAACAAAACCCCAAUCCGCACCUCCAUGAGGACACACCAUGUGCACAGGGGCCAUCUGACUCCAC
RNAcentral lists this small nucleolar RNA (113 nucleotides) under Oryzias latipes (Japanese medaka). Its description in RNAcentral is "Small nucleolar RNA SNORD67 (ENSORLG00020015975.1)". It matches the Rfam family "Small nucleolar RNA SNORD67". Rfam says of the family: snoRNA HBII-166 belongs to the C/D family of snoRNAs. The record is from RNAcentral. Lineage: Eukaryota; Metazoa; Chordata; Actinopteri; Beloniformes; Adrianichthyidae.